AGGAGAUGAACACGUUAUGUAGAGAGAGAAAGCAGGAGAAGAAGAGAAGCGAAAUUUGAGGCGGACUCGACGAGGUGAUCCCUCCCGGACCUCACGUAAUACCCCUCUCUCUCUCUCUCUGAUCAUCCUCCCUCUCUCUCUGAUCAACCUCUCUCCCUCCCUCCCUCCCUCUCUCUCUCUCUCUGUGGCUCGGAAAGACAAUAUGAGCAAAGCAAAGAAAAUCAGUCAACUCACGCUCACUGGACGAUCCCACCAUCAAAUCUUAAACCCUAGGCUAGCAGAAAUCGCAUAAGUGUUAAUUUUUUUAGGUUGGCAGUUAGCGGAUUGGAGAUAGAAAGAGGGCGGUGGAGGUGGCAAUCGGUGGUGGUGGUGGUUUUGUUGGCCGAAGACAACCAAAACCAAAUCUGUGCGAUGGAAGAAGACAAAGAGGAACAGGGGUCCACUAAUUUCAUCGGAUCUUGUCCAGAAAUCAAGGGUCAAAGGUUUUAGCUGCCACUCAAACACCAGGAGAAGGAGAAGUAGGAAAGAAGUGGUUCUAAGGAGCAGCAGAUUAUAAUUUACGUGUAUAAAUGAGGAUGCCAAGAAGAAGAACGUGGAGCACAUACUAAUUUUGUCCGGUGAUCAUCUCUAUCGGAUGGAUUACAUGGACUUUGUGCAGAAGCAUGUCAACUUACAAGCUGAUAUCAUGGUUUCAUGUGUCCCCGACUCCCCAUGGAUGAUAGUUAUUACUCGAAGGUUGUCGCCAUUCUUCCAAAGACAUGAGUAGGACCAUUUGGAUUAUGCUGAGGCCUAAAUUGUGCAUUCAAUACACAAGUACCACGAAGCUGCCAUAAUUGAAAUUUACUUUCUGCCAAAACUUGUGAGGCAUGAUAUUGGUGGUACACGAUAGAGAUCUGCUUUCUAUAUGUUCUCUCUGUUUGCUGUUUUAGUUUGAAGUAUUGUGUACAUGUUUCAUAUUUUGCUGUUGUGUUUAAAUACAGCAUUGGAUUGACUUGUAGUGUAAGUAUUUAUUGGUACUUGUGGUUGGAUUAUUUAAAGGGCAUCCAUAUUUUAUCAUA
Molecule: long non-coding RNA, 1058 nt
Organism: Rhododendron vialii
Lineage: Eukaryota; Viridiplantae; Streptophyta; Magnoliopsida; Ericales; Ericaceae
Exons: 7
Source: RefSeq, a predicted model, not a curated record